UACAGAGGGUGCGAGCGUUAAUCGGAAUGACUGGGCGUAAAGGGUGUGUAGGUGGUUUAAUAAGUUAGGUGUAAAAGUCCUGGGCUUAACCUGGGGAGGUCGCUUAAGACUGUUAAGCUAGAGUACUGUAGAGGGGAGUGGAAUUUCCGGUGUAGCAGUGAAAUGCGUAGAUAUCGGAAGGAACAUCAGUGGCGAAGGCGACUUUCUGGACAGAUACUGACACUGAGACACGAAAGCGUGGGGAGCAAAC
RNAcentral lists this ribosomal RNA (250 nucleotides) under uncultured bacterium. RNAcentral's name for it is "partial 16S ribosomal RNA". It matches the Rfam family "Bacterial small subunit ribosomal RNA", at positions 524 to 773 of the family's 1533-position model. The record is from RNAcentral.